AGUGAACGCUGGCGGUAGGCCUAACACAUGCAAGUCGAACGGCAGCACAGUAAGAGCUUGCUCUUACGGGUGGCGAGUGGCGGACGGGUGAGGAAUACAUCGGAAUCUACUUUUUCGUGGGGGAUAACGUAGGGAAACUUACGCUAAUACCGCAUACGACCUACGGGUGAAAGCAGGGGAUCUUCGGACCUUGCGCGAUUGAAUGAGCCGAUGUCGGAUUAGCUAGUUGGCGGGGUAAAGGCCCACCAAGGCGACGAUCCGUAGCUGGUCUGAGAGGAUGAACCACCACCUGGGAACAGAGACAGGUCCGAGCCUCCGGGGGAGGGAAACGGCGGGGAUUAUUGGACAAGGGACCAAAGCUGAAUCCAGCAAUACGGGGGGGAGAAAGAAGCCCUUGGGGUGUAAAAGCCUUUUUGUGGGGAAAAAAAAGAAGCUGUUUAACCCCCGGUUGUUCUGACGGUACCAAAAGAAUAAGCCCCGGCUAACUCCGUG
RNAcentral lists this ribosomal RNA (492 nucleotides) under uncultured bacterium. Its description in RNAcentral is "partial 16S ribosomal RNA". It matches the Rfam family "Bacterial small subunit ribosomal RNA", at positions 29 to 507 of the family's 1533-position model. The record is from RNAcentral.